Molecule: ribosomal RNA, 496 nt
Filed under: uncultured bacterium
Lineage: Bacteria
Description: partial 16S ribosomal RNA
Rfam family: Bacterial small subunit ribosomal RNA
Source: RNAcentral
AUUGAACGCUGGCGGAAUGCUUUACACAUGCAAGUCGAACGGUAGAGGGGGCAACCCCUUGAGAGUGGCGGACGGGUGAGUAAUAUAUCGGAACGUGCCCAGUCGUGGGGGAUAACGUAGUGAAAAUUACGCUAAUACCGCAUACGAUCUAAGGAUGAAAGCGGGGGAUCGCAAGACCUCGCGCGAUUGGAGCGGCCGAUAUCAGAUUAGGUAGUUGGUAGGGUAAAGGCCUACCAAGCCAACGAUCUGUAGCUGGUCUGAGAGGACGACCAGCCACACUGGAACUGAGACACGGUCCAGACUCCUACGGGAGGCAGCAGUGGGGAAUUUUGGACAAUGGGCGAAAGCCUGAUCCAGCCAUUCCGCGUGCAGGAUGAAGGCCCUCGGGUUGUAAACUGCUUUUGUACAGAACGAAAAGGUCUCUAUUAAUACUAGGGGCUCGUGACGGUACUGUAAGAAUAAGCACCGGCCAACUACGUGCCAGCCGCCGCAGUAA